AACUGCUUUUGUACGGAACGAAAAGGUUUGACUUAAUACGUUGGACUCAUGACGGUACCGUAAGAAUAAGCACCGGCUAACUACGUGCCAGCAGCCGCGGUAAUACGUAGGGUGCGAGCGUUAAUCGGAAUUACUGGGCGUAAAGCGUGCGCAGGCGGUUAUGUAAGACAGAUGUGAAAUCCCCGGGCUCAACCUGGGAACUGCAUUAGUGACUGCAUAGCUGGAGUACGGCAGAGGGGGAUGGAAUUCCGCGUGUAGCAGUGAAAUGCGUAGAUAUGCGGAGGAACACCGAUGGCGAAGGCAAUCCCCUGGGCCUGUACUGACGCUCAUGCACGAAAGCGUGGGGAGCAAACAGGAUUAGAUACCCUGGUAGUCCACGCCCUAAACGAUGUCAACUGGUUGUUGGGUCUUCACUGACUC
RNAcentral lists this ribosomal RNA (420 nucleotides) under bacterium 3.9. RNAcentral's name for it is "bacterial SSU rRNA". It matches the Rfam family "Bacterial small subunit ribosomal RNA", at positions 428 to 841 of the family's 1533-position model. The record is from RNAcentral.